Molecule: long non-coding RNA, 241 nt
Filed under: Hordeum vulgare
Lineage: Eukaryota; Viridiplantae; Streptophyta; Magnoliopsida; Poales; Poaceae
Description: long non-coding RNA (HVUL_LNC017381)
Source: RNAcentral
GAAGGCCAAACGGGAUUAGGACAUCGGGUGGCGCCGGCGGGCGCUGACGUUGUCGUGAACGCUGAACCAAUGUCCGUAUUGGUGACGGCAGCAAGGCGCGAUAAGAUGAACCGUCGGCGCUGCAUUGAUCCGUAAUUGGCGUUGGAUCCCCUGCCUAUAAACUGAAGUUACUGAACUCCCAUCUCCAAUCGCUAGCCGCAUGGCCGCGUGGGCGUGGUCGCAUGGGCUUGAUGUUUGCUCG